RNAcentral lists this ribosomal RNA (253 nucleotides) under uncultured bacterium. RNAcentral's name for it is "partial 16S ribosomal RNA". It matches the Rfam family "Bacterial small subunit ribosomal RNA", at positions 524 to 776 of the family's 1533-position model. The record is from RNAcentral.
UACGAAGGGUGCAAACGUUGCUCGGAAUCAUUGGGCGUAAAGCGCACGUAGGCGGCUUCGCAAGUCGGAUGUGAAAUCCCUCGGCUCAACCGAGGACGUGCAUACGAAACUGCGAGGCUUGAGUACUGAAGAGGAUCGCGGAAUUCCCGGUGUAGAGGUGAAAUUCGUAGAUAUUCGCAAGAACACCAGUGGCGAAGGCGGCUCACUGGUCCGGUUCUGACGCUGAGGCGCGAAAGCGUGGGGAGCAAACAGG